CAUCUAUACGCGUGAAUCUGCGAAUGGCUCAUUAAAUCAGUUAUCGUUUAUUUGAUAGUACCUUACUACUUGGAUAACCGUGGUAAUUCUAGAGCUAAUACAUGCUAAAAACCCCGACUUCGGAAGGGGUGUAUUUAUUAGAUAAAAAACCAAUGCCCUUCGGGGCUCCUUGGUGAUUCAUGAUAACUUAACGAAUCGCAUGGCCUUGUGCCGGCGAUGGUUCAUUCAAAUUUCUGCCCUAUCAACUUUCGAUGGUAGGAUAGUGGCCUACCAUGGUUUCAACGGGUAACGGGGAAUUAGGGUUCUAUUCCGGAGAGGGAGCCUGAGAAACGGCUACCACAUCCAAGGAAGGCAGCAGGCGCGCAAAUUACCCAAUCCCGACACGGGGAGGUAGUGACAAUAAAUACUGAUACAGGGCUCUUUUGGGUCUUGUAAUUGGAAUGAGUACAAUUUAAAUCCCUUAACGAGGAACAAUUGGAGGGCAAGUCUGGUGCCAGCAGCCGCGGUAAUUCCAGCUCCAAUAGCGUAUAUUAAAGUUGUUGCAGUUAAAAAGCUCGUAGUUGAACCUUGGGCCUGGCUGGCCGGUCCGCCUCACCGCGUGCACUGGUCCGGCCGGGCCUUUCCUUCUGGGGAGCCGCAUGCCCUUCACUGGGUGUGUCGGGGAACCAGGACUUUUACUUUGAAAAAAUUAGAGUGUUCAAAGCAGGCCUAUGCUCGAAUACAUUAGCAUGGAAUAAUAGAAUAGGACGUGUGGUUCUAUUUUGUUGGUUUCUAGGACCGCCGUAAUGAUUAAUAGGGAUAGUCGGGGGCAUCAGUAUUCAAUUGUCAGAGGUGAAAUUCUUGGAUUUAUUGAAGACUAACUACUGCGAAAGCAUUUGCCAAGGAUGUUUUCAUUAAUCAGUGAACGAAAGUUAGGGGAUCGAAGACGAUCAGAUACCGUCGUAGUCUUAACCAUAAACUAUGCCGACUAGGGAUCGGGCGAUGUUAUCUUUUUGACUCGCUCGGCACCUUACGAGAAAUCAAAGUUUUUGGGUUCUGGGGGGAGUAUGGGCGCAAGGCUGAAACUUAAAGGAAU
Molecule: ribosomal RNA, 1075 nt
Filed under: Phacidiales sp.
Lineage: Eukaryota; Fungi; Ascomycota; Leotiomycetes; Phacidiales
Description: SSU rRNA
Rfam family: Eukaryotic small subunit ribosomal RNA
Source: RNAcentral